AUUGAACGCUGGCGGCAUGCCUUACACAUGCAAGUCGAACGGCAGCACGGGUGCUUGCACCUGGUGGCGAGUGGCGAACGGGUGAGUAAUACAUCGGAACGUACCUUAUCGUGGGGGAUAACGCAGCGAAAGUUGCGCUAAUACCGCAUACGCCCUGAGGGGGAAAGCGGGGGACCGUAAGGCCUCGCGCGAUUAGAGCGGCCGAUGUCUGAUUAGCUUGUUGGUGAGGUAAAAGCUCACCAAGGCGAUGAUCAGUAGCUGGUCUGAGAGGACGAUCAGCCACACUGGGACUGAGACACGGCCCAGACUCCUACGGGAGGCAGCAGUGGGGAAUUUUGGACAAUGGGGCCAACCCUGAUCCAGCAAUGCCGCGUGAGUGAAGAAGGCCUUCGGGUUGUAAAGCUCUUUUGUCAGGGAAGAAACAGCAACUCUAACACAGUCUGCGAAUGACGGUACCUGAAGAAUAAGCACCGGCUAACUACGUGCCAGCCGCCGCAGUAA
Molecule: ribosomal RNA, 501 nt
Filed under: uncultured bacterium
Lineage: Bacteria
Description: partial 16S ribosomal RNA
Rfam family: Bacterial small subunit ribosomal RNA
Source: RNAcentral